This is a transfer RNA of Salpingoeca sp., 73 nucleotides long. It matches the Rfam family "tRNA". Rfam says of the family: Transfer RNA (tRNA) molecules are approximately 80 nucleotides in length. Their secondary structure includes four short double-helical elements and three loops (D, anti-codon, and T loops). Further hydrogen bonds mediate the characteristic L-shaped molecular structure. tRNAs have two regions of fundamental functional importance: the anti-codon, which is responsible for specific mRNA codon recognition, and the 3' end, to which the tRNAs corresponding amino acid is attached (by aminoacyl-tRNA synthetases). tRNAs cope with the degeneracy of the genetic code in two manners: having more than one tRNA (with a specific anti-codon) for a particular amino acid; and 'wobble' base-pairing, i.e. permitting non-standard base-pairing at the 3rd anti-codon position. NCBI's taxonomy places the organism in Eukaryota, Choanoflagellata, Craspedida, Salpingoecidae. The record is from Rfam.
GGGGUAGUGGCUUAGUGGCUAUAGCGAUCGGCUGCAGUCCGAUUGGUCGGUGGUUCGAGUCCACCCUGCCCCU